Molecule: ribosomal RNA, 919 nt
Filed under: uncultured Alkalibacter sp.
Lineage: Bacteria; Bacillati; Bacillota; Clostridia; Eubacteriales; Eubacteriaceae
Description: bacterial SSU rRNA
Rfam family: Bacterial small subunit ribosomal RNA
Source: RNAcentral
UGGAUCGCCCUUAGAGUUUGAUCCUGGCUCAGGACGAACGCUGGCGGCGUGCCUAACACAUGCAAGUCGAACGGACCGAUUUUCCGGAACCUUCGGGGGAAGGGAAAGAAGGUUAGUGGCGGACGGGUGAGUAACACGUGGGCAAUCUGCCCUUUAGACUGGGAUAACACCGGGAAACCGGUGCUAAUACCGGAUGAGAUCUUUUGGUGGCAUCACCGGAAGAUGAAAGGAGGCCUCUCGAAGAAGCUCCCGCUAAAGGAUGAGCCCGCGGCCCAUUAGCUGGUUGGUAGGGUAAUGGCCUACCAAGGCGACGAUGGGUAGCCGGCCUGAGAGGGUGAACGGCCACACUGGGACUGAGACACGGCCCAGACUCCUACGGGAGGCAGCAGUGGGGAAUAUUGCGCAAUGGGGGAAACCCUGACGCAGCAACGCCGCGUGAACGACGAAGGCCUUCGGGUCGUAAAGUUCUGUCAAGUGGGACGAAGGCUGCAUUGUGAACAGCGAUGCAGAUGACGGUACCUAAAGAGGAAGCUCCGGCUAACUACGUGCCAGCAGCCGCGGUAAUACGUAGGGAGCGAGCGUUGUCCGGAAUUACUGGGCGUAAAGGGCGCGUAGGCGGCCGAUUAAGUUAGAUGUGAAAAACCGGGGCUCAACUCCGGGAUGGCAUUUAAGACUGGUCGGCUUGAGGGUGAGAGAGGAAAGUGGAAUUCCUAGUGUAGCGGUGAAAUGCGUAGAUAUUAGGAGGAACACCAGUGGCGAAGGCGACUUUCUGGCUCAUACCUGACGCUGAGGCGCGAAAGCGUGGGGAGCAAACAGGAUUAGAUACCCUGGUAGUCCACGCCGUAAACGAUGAGUACUAGGUGUAGGAGGUAUCGACCCCUUCUGUGCCGCAGCUAACGCAUUAAGUACUCCGCCUGGG